Neofelis nebulosa (Clouded leopard) is the source of this 4358-nucleotide long non-coding RNA. RefSeq lists it as uncharacterized. The record is from RefSeq and is a predicted model, not a curated record. NCBI's taxonomy places the organism in Eukaryota, Metazoa, Chordata, Mammalia, Carnivora, Felidae. The transcript has 4 exons.
GACGGGGCGGAGGCGGGGCGGCGUCUCGGCAGGCAGGUGGCCGUGGGGCGAGGGAGAGGGCCCCUGGAAAGCAGCCUAUGUUUAUUGACUGCGAUUCGCCUCUGAUCCUGGAGCUGGCAAGGGAGCCCCCGGCGGGUAAGUUUGGAUUUUGCGCCCCUGUGUGUGGGUGCGCUUGGCAGGCUGGCAAUGCGAGGUGGCGGCACUCCUGCUCAGGGGCACCUGGCAAACUCAGCAGGCACAGGCGGUAGGGAUCCCAGACGAGUCCUGGCCGCUAGCUCUCAAGGGGGCGGGGGGCGGUGGUGCCCCGCUUUGGUGAGACCGCUGGUGGUGAGGAGCUCCCCAGAAGAAGGUGUAAGAAGAGGAAGCCAGGGGUGGGAUGGAGGGCCCGCAAGAUCAAGAGAGGGAGGGAGCGAGCUGAGCAGGGAAGGAGCUCCAGCAGUCCUCCGGUCCCACAGAUGUGUGCCUGGCAGCCCCUGCGGGCCAGGCCCCUGCAGACAUUGGUGAUAUGGCAGGGAAGAAAAUGGCAAAACUCGCCCCACGUGGGUCCAGGCCUAGUGGCAGGGCGCACACGACAGGAUAGCAAACAUCUUAAAUGAAGGAUGAUAGAGUGUGUUCAUCGGUGGUAAGUGCCCUGGGGAAACUAGAGCAGAGGGAAGGAGGUGAGGGGUUGGGUCACAAGUCUGAGUAGAUGAGGGUAUUUCAGAAAACCUCGAAGGAGAUGAGAGUGUGUACCGGGCAGAGGGAACAACCAGUGCAAAGGGCCUGAGGUAUGAGUGGACUGGUGUGUGGAAGGGAAUGCUCAGAGGGUGGUGUGGCAGGAGCGGAGGGAGCAAGCAGGUGGGCGGGGGGCAGGGCGAGGCCAGGAGGGGCCACAUGGGUCUACUCUGAGUCAGAUGGGCACCCCGGGGAGGGCCGUGAGCAGGCAAGGACAGAACCCCAUUAGGAGGUGGCCCUGUUUACCAUCAGUUCAGCCUCUGCCCCUCCCCCGCCCCCCACCGCCCAGGACGGGGGAGACCCCAGUUGCAAGGCUGAUCCUUAGAUGAUCCUUAGGGGGCUUUGUUGGGUGGAGCAGCGUGGAAGGCCCUGGGGUGACCUGCGGCCUCCCUAGGCCCAGGGCCCUGGGGCCGACCCACCCAGCGGGCUGCAAGCGCUGCGGUCCCCAGGGAAGGCUGCCGGAGCCAGGAGGAGGCAGCCGGGGUCUCCAAGUGCCAGGCCUCAGAGGAAGUCCACCAGGAAGGAAGAAGCCUGACUGCAAGAGGCCUGGCGCCACUCCUCCUCACAGAUGAAGAAACCCCAGUUCCUGAUCCCGCCUGUGUGGGGUCGCCUCCUGCCUUUCCUGGGGUUUGUGUUCUGUGUUCUUUUCCCGGGGAAAUAGCCCCAUCUCCUGGUCUUCUGUAGGCACCAGCACGAAGCCCACUCACUGGCUGCCUCCUUUUUUUUUUUUUUUUUUUUUCAAUUUUGUUUAAAUCUUUCUCUAUUUUUGAGAGGGACAGAGAGCCACAGAGCACAAGCAGGGGAGGGACACAGAGAAAGGGAGGCACAGAAUCCGAAGCAGGCUCCUGGCUCCGAGCUGUCAGCACAGAGCCCGACACGGGGCUCGAACUCACGAACUGUGAACUGUGAGAUCAUGACCGGAGCCCAAGUCGGAGGCUUAACCGACUGAGCCACCCGGGUGCCCCUCCCUUUUCAUUUUGAACACCAGCAAGCAAACAGACGAAAUCGAGAGGACAGUCUAAGGCAGCGCAGGUGCCCACCCCCCAGGGCUAGCGGCAGCCUCCAGCUUGCCUUGUUUGCUCGUUUCUCUCUUUCUCGGUUUCUCCCUCCCUUUGUCCUUCUAUCCUUCGCUCCCUGCUUUUCUCGCUCUCUCGCUCUCUCUUUCUCUCUCUCCUUUUCCCUUUCCUUUGUUUUUGCUGAAAUAGUUUACAGCAAGCGUGCAUACCAUUUUCUCCCUACGUGCUUCAAGAAGGAAGGACAUUUCCUCCCAUGACCCAGUGCCGUUAUCCAUCCAACCCAUGCCCAGCGCGGGCUCCUGCUGUCGUCUGAGAGCCACUGCACAGUCACCCUCCAGGCCCCCACUGCCUUUGACUCCUCUUUCCUUCACACCAGCAUCUCAUCAAGGACUUCGUUACACUUGACCAUUGGCCAUCUGGUUAUCCUUUCAUCUGAAGCAGCCUCUCUCCCCGGCCUCGUCUUUUCCCCCUGACGCUGAGACACGCAGGAGACCGGGAACUGCCCACCUUCUAGAUUGGGCCGGUUGCUCCCUUGUAGCUAGUGUCUUGAAGUGGUCCCUCUGUCCCCAGUAUCCUUUAUAAACUGGGUGUGGGGGCACAAGGCUGCAUUAGAAUUGGGUCAAGCUUUGGCAAGAGCCUUCCUUGUGCCCUCCCUGGGGUGGCAUCGUCACAGCAGGCAUGUCCGACCUCUGUCCAGCAGCCAUUCGCUUAGCUUUCUGUCUCGUGACCAGCGGUAAGCAGGGGAAGACAUCUUGACAUCGUGCGGCUAUCCACGCCUCCUAGGUCUGUCACCCGGCGGUUUUCGUGUCCACUCCACCUUAAGGGAUUCUUUCUAUCCGAUUAAUGUAAAUGUCGCCAUCAGACACAUGAGUUUAUUUCUUCUGGGCUAGUGUUGAUUGACGGCUCGUCACUGGCGAAAAGGGACCUUCUUGCGGCAAUUUAAAUGCUCCGGGACCCCGUCCCCCCAUCCUCUCUCCUGUAGCGUGAGUAAGCUGUAGUCACCCACGCAGCAAAAGCAUCCUGGACCCGCUCCCCACCAGCCACUGCCUGGCUCUUCCGCUUCCCCACCGGGGAAUUGCACAUUCUGGCCUCCAGCUGGGUGCAGAGCACAUCCUUGGAGCAAACUUUCUUUGGCCCCGCUGUUUCCUGGCACUGAGAACCGAUGCGGAGGAAUCAGACACUGCCCACUCUGUCCAUGACAGACUCUUCCUGCCCUUGGUGUGGAGUGGUAUGUGUGUGUUGGGAGGUUUUCUGUAAGGACCCUGACCUGAGAGGAAAAGGGGUCAGCAGUGGAGCUUCCGGGGAUGGCUGGAAAGUCGGGGUGCAGGGGUCCUGCCCCCAUGGGAAGAAAGGAAUGAGAAAGAGGAAGCCAAGGCUCGCCGGAGGUGGGCAGGACUCCCUGUCUGGCAGCCCACUGCCCAGGUGAGGGGAGAGGGCGGCAGCUCGGUCUGGGAAAGUGUUAUGGGUUGGAUUGUGUCCCCCAGGAAAGAUGCGUUCGAGUCUUGCCCGCCAGCAGCUGUGACUGGGACCUAACCUGGAUGAGGUGGUGCUGCACUAGGGCGGGCCUCAUCUCGCACUUGGCUUUUGCCAAUCCCCUUAGCUUGUUUGUACCCCCGCGGUGGCAGCCGUUCUCUUGAAGGCCGGACCCAAGGUGAGCGGGGCUCCCUGACCGUCUCCAUCCGCCCCCUCAUCAUGCCCCAGCCUCACAACUCUGGCAACCCCGAGUCUCCCCUUAGCUGCUGAGUUCUCUGAGUCCCCACCCCCACCCCAUGUUUGGUUGCCGCCCGCCCAUCCUGCGACCCAUGGGGGUGAAUUCCCCUGCAGCCCCAGGAAUUUCUCAUUUUAGGUGCCGGUAUCGUUUGAAGACGUGUCUGUGUACUUCAUCAAGACAGAAUGGAAGCUUCUGGACCUCAGUCAAAGGAUCCUCUACAAGAGAGUGUUGCUGGAGAACUACCGCCAUUUGGUGUCACUGGAUGCUGACGCUGGGCUGAGUUCAGGAGUGACUGAUCUGCUUCGUUUCCAUGGACAGGACUUUUAGCCUCCAAGCCUCACCUGGUCUCCUGGCUGGAGCAAGGGGACGAGCCCCAGGCAGCAGACAUCCACGGGACACGGGCUGCUGCGGGGGUGCGGACGGGUGACGGGAUAGAGAACAGGACGUCGACUUCAAAGCAGAAGCAUUGCCCCCAAGAGCUCCUGAGGACUGGCCCUCGGGGCGGUAACAAGAGCCAGGUGGCCCGGCCAACAGGGGAGACCGCUAAUCACACAGGGAAACAUGCUCGUUCCCCACAGACAGGUUCUGGCAGGGGUGAUCAGCCUGGGGAGAGAGGUCAAGGCGGCUCCUCCGGCGAGGGAAGAGCGAUGAGGUAGAGAAGACAGGACGGCGUUAGGUGGGAUUAGGGUCUCAGGCCGCGGGGUGCGCCGGGCGCCGACAAGCAGCACCUGUGUCCGCAGUGUGGGAAAUCCUUCAGUCGCAGUUCCAACCUCCUCAAGCACCGGCGCACCCACAGCGGCCACAAGCCCUACACGUGCGGCUAGUGUCUCAAGGCCUUCAAGGGCGCGUCCCAGUUCAUUCACCGCCAGCGCGUCCACAGCAGGGAGAAGCUGUUUGCGUGCCAAGAGUGCGGGAAG